RNAcentral lists this long non-coding RNA (441 nucleotides) under Gossypium raimondii (Peruvian cotton). Its description in RNAcentral is "long non-coding RNA (GRAI_LNC003798)". The record is from RNAcentral. Lineage: Eukaryota; Viridiplantae; Streptophyta; Magnoliopsida; Malvales; Malvaceae.
GCGGUGGAGCGGGGAGGGUCGUACGUGUGGGUGCGUGAACGAGGGAGGGAAAAAGAGGUUGAAGCAUUGAAGGGAGAGAGGAGAGGAACACAGAGGUCGUUUGUGAGGGUCGGGGUUGAGGAGAUCGGGAAAAGAGAAGGGAAGGGAGAGGGCGUUGUGGUCGUGAAAAAAGGAAAAGGUGAGGGAUAGGGAAUGAGAGAGGUCGAGGGAAGGAAAUGACGAGGUAAGGGUUGUCGACGGGGGAAAGAGAAAGAAAAAGGGAAAUGAGAGAAGCCGGAGAGGGCUAAGGGUGGUGGGGAACAAUGGUGGGCGAAUUUGCAAAGGUAAUGCUAACGGCGGCUAGGGUUAAAGGUUGGAAACUUGGAGAAGAUGAAAGUGAAAAGAAAUUAGGGUUUGAGGGUUAAAAAGGGGGACAUGGUCAUGUAAGGGCCCGUGUUGGGC